GACGAACGCUGGCGGCGCGCCUAACACAUGCAAGUCGAACGAGCGAGAGAGAGCUUGCUUUCUCAAGCGAGUGGCGAACGGGUGAGUAACGCGUGAGGAACCUGCCUCAAAGAGGGGGACAACAGUUGGAAACGACUGCUAAUACCGCAUAAGCCCACAGGUCGGCAUCGACCAGAGGGAAAAGGAGCAAUCCGCUUUGAGAUGGCCUCGCGUCCGAUUAGCUAGUUGGUGAGGUAACGGCCCACCAAGGCGACGAUCGGUAGCCGGACUGAGAGGUUGAACGGCCACAUUGGGACUGAGACACGGCCCAGACUCCUACGGGAGGCAGCAGUGGGGAAUAUUGCACAAUGGGGGAAACCCUGAUGCAGCGACGCCGCGUGGAGGAAGAAGGUCUUCGGAUUGUAAACUCCUGUUGUUGAGGAAGAUAAUGACGGUACUCAACAAGGAAGUGACGGCUAACUACGUGCCAGCAGCCGCGGUAAAACGUAGGUCACAAGCGUUGUCCGGAAUUACUGGGUGUAAAGGGAGCGCAGGCGGGAAGACAAGUUGGAAGUGAAAUCUAUGGGCUCAACCCAUAAACUGCUUUCAAAACUGUUUUUCUUGAGUAGUGCAGAGGUAGGCGGAAUUCCCGGUGUAGCGGUGGAAUGCGUAGAUAUCGGGAGGAACACCAGUGGCGAAGGCGGCCUACUGGGCACCAACUGACGCUGAGGCUCGAAAGUGUGGGUAGCAAACAGGAUUAGAUACCCUGGUAGUCCACACCGUAAACGAUGAUUACUAGGUGUUGGAGGAUUGACCCCUUCAGUGCCGCAGUUAACACAAUAAGUAAUCCACCUGGGGAGUACGACCGCAAGGUUGAAACUCAAAGGAAUUGACGGGGGCCCGCACAAGCAGUGGAGUAUGUGGUUUAAUUCGACGCAACGCGAAGAACCUUACCAAGUCUUGACAUCCUGCGACGCACAUAGAAAUAUGUGUUUCCUUCGGGACGCAGAGACAGGUGGUGCAUGGUUGUCGUCAGCUCGUGUCGUGAGAUGUUGGGUUAAGUCCCGCAACGAGCGCAACCCUUACUGUCAGUUACUACGCAAGAGGACUCUGGCAGGACUGCCGUUCGACAAAACGGAGGAAGGUGGGGAUGACGUCAAAUCAUCAUGCCCUUUAUGACUUGGGCUACACACGUACUACAAUGGCGUUAAACAAAGAGAAGCAAGACCGCGAGGUGGAGCAAAACUCAGAAACAACGUCCCAGUUCGGACUGCAGGCUGCAACUCGCCUGCACGAAGUCGGAAUUGCUAGUAAUCGUGGAUCAGCAUGCCACGGUGAAUACGUUCCCGGGCCU
This 1333-nucleotide ribosomal RNA is filed under the name uncultured bacterium. Its description in RNAcentral is "bacterial SSU rRNA". It matches the Rfam family "Bacterial small subunit ribosomal RNA", at positions 28 to 1381 of the family's 1533-position model. The record is from RNAcentral.